Molecule: ribosomal RNA, 401 nt
Filed under: uncultured bacterium
Lineage: Bacteria
Description: bacterial SSU rRNA
Rfam family: Bacterial small subunit ribosomal RNA
Source: RNAcentral
AACCUGCCUUUGAGAAGGGGAUAACUGUCCGAAAGGAUAGCUAAUACCCUAUAUUGCCUUUUGUCACUAAGGCAAAAGGUGAAAGCGAGGCUGUCAAAGGCUUCGGCUCAAAGAGGGGUUCGCGUCCUAUCAGGUAGUUGGUGGGGUAAUGGCCUACCAAGCCAAUGACGGGUAGCUGGUCUUAGAGGAUGAUCAGCCACAGUGGGACUGAGACACGGCCCGCACCCCUACGGGGGGCAGCAGUGGGGAAUCGUGGGCAAUGGGCGCAAGCCUGACCCCCGCAACGCCGCGUGAGGGAAGAAGCCCUUCCGGGGUGUAAACCUAUCUCAGAUAGGAAGAAGAUGGGACUAGGGGCUAAUACCUCCUAGUCUUGACGGUACCAUCAGAGGAAGGGACGGCUA